UGGGGCAUUUUGCACAAUGGGGUAAACCCUGAUGCAGCGACGCCGCGUGAUUUAGAAGGCCUUCGGGUUGUAAAAAUCUUUUCUAUGGGAAGAAAAUGACAGUACCAUAGGAAUAAGGACCGGCUAAUUACGUGCCAGCAGCCGCGGUAAUACGUAAGGUCCGAGCGUUGUCCGGAAUCCUUGGGCGUAAAGGGUACGUAGGCGGGUAAGCAAGUUAGAAGUGAAAUCCUAUAGCUCAACUAUAGUAAGCUUUUAAAACUGCUCAUCUUGAGGUAUGGAAAGGAAAGUGGAAUUCAUAGUGAAGCGGUGAAAUGCGAAGAUAUUAGGAGGAAUACCGGUGGCGAAGGCGACUUUCUGGCCAUAACCUGACGCGGAGGUACGAAAGCGUGGGUAGCAGACAGG
RNAcentral lists this ribosomal RNA (402 nucleotides) under bacterium. RNAcentral's name for it is "partial 16S ribosomal RNA". It matches the Rfam family "Bacterial small subunit ribosomal RNA", at positions 355 to 776 of the family's 1533-position model. The record is from RNAcentral.